RNAcentral lists this long non-coding RNA (3145 nucleotides) under Panax ginseng (ginseng). RNAcentral's name for it is "long non-coding RNA (PGIN_LNC002342)". Lineage: Eukaryota; Viridiplantae; Streptophyta; Magnoliopsida; Apiales; Araliaceae. The record is from RNAcentral.
GAUGAUGGCGGUGGCGGUGAAUAUGAAUACUGGAUGAUGGUGGUGGCGGUGGGGUUCCAAAGCUUGCCGCAACCUGUAACACAAUUGCAAAGAUACAUGUGUAUCAGCAGCAGUAUGAAAUCUUCUCAAUUAUCAUUCAGAUAUCAAACUACAGGUCACUAAACCUUACUCAGACUAUCAUUCAGAUAUCAAACUACAGGUCAAGAAACCUUACUCCAACAUGAGGUUCGUCGCUAUUUAUUUAUUUUCCUUGUCUUGUUUUAAUAAAAGAAGUACGCAUAAAAAAAUUAAUUAGGAAUCUAUAUAUUCCAAGAGGGUAGUAACCAGGAACCAACAAAUCCUAUUGGACAGUUGGCAUCAUAAUAAACGAUUUCCAUUUUCAUUUGAGUGGUUUGGUUCUAAUCUCGAGGAAAAGAACAAGGUGGAAAGAAGAAGUGUUGAUAACAAGGCAACAAAAGAUAUAUGUAUAUAUUUAUGAGUUAACCAACUGUAUAUCUCCAGUAGCUUCUCAAAAUGACGGGUCAAAAUGGAGGUGGGUAUGAAGAUUCAGGCGGUGGUGGCGGUGGAUAUGAAUACUGGAUGAUGGUAACAAAACCUUUAUACCAAGGUAACCAAACUGUCAUGUCAAAGUAACCAAUCAACCUCCACACUUUAAAUUUUUUCUUAGUACAGUUGGUUACCAAACCUUCAGAUCAAGGUAAGUAAACCUUCGUACCAAGGUAAGAAAACCUUCAUACCAAGGUAACUAAUUCACAUCCACACCAGCAGUUUUUUCAUAGUGUAGUUGGUAGCCAAACCUUCAGACCAAGGUAACCAAUUCAAUUUUAUUAAAUUACCAAUUUCGUUUAAAUGUGAUGCAGUUGGUAGCCAACCAUUCAUACAAAGGUAACUAUUUUAUUAUUUAUGAGUAACAAAAUAGUUAUAAAUUUUUUUUCAGAACAUUAAAAGUUACAUCUAUUUAUUUUUUAACUUUUUGUAGGGCGAAUCUUCUUCUUAUUCUCAUUGGCGUUUUGGACAACGGAGAUUCGCGGUGGUGUAGCGACGGAGUAUGUGAGGUGUAGCGGCGGACUAUUAUUUCAAAGUGUAUGUGAGGGAGAUGAAGAUUUGAAUUUGAAUAUUUAAAUUUGAAUUAUUAUUUUGAAUUUGAAUUUGUUUUUGUUGUUAGAUCCAAAUAUUUGAAUUUGAAUUAUUUAUUAUGGCAGUUAUUUGUCCUUGAUUUUAGGUUUCCUUAUUAAUAUGAAUUGUACUAUUUUUGUAAUAUGGAUCCUAAUUACACUAUUUUUGUAAUUAUUUGGUUGAUGCACUUUUCUUGUAAUUACUUUCUAUUUGUUGUAUACUUAUGUAAAGAACCCUAGAAUUUAACGUCCGUCCAAAAAAUUUGACGGAAUGGCCCAAUUAAGUAUUUUUAAAAAUUCCAGUGAGCCAAUUACAUUUUUUUAAAGUACAGUAACUCAAUAUUUAUAACUCGAUGAACACAAUAAGGGUAAAUAUACUUUUUGCCAAUUCAAUUUCAUUACCACAUUGACAAAUUUCAUUCAUAUUCUCGGACUCCUUCCACAAAUAUCACAACACCCUCAUGUGACUUUUCUUUGAUGCAUAUUAAGUUUUACUUUGACACCAUUACAUAUAUUUAUUUAUUCUAAAUAAUAAUUUAAUCAUGAAUUAAAUUUCAAAUAAUGCUCUUUAAUGAAAAUUAUGUCUAAUGAGCACCCUAAAUUUUUAUUUAUCUAAAAACAACUUAUUUCAUGUAACUUACUUAACUCAUAAACACAACUUAUACCGCACAAAAAACUAGUACAAACACACCAAAUACUACAACUAAAAGUCUCAAACGUUGGUAACUAAGCAAAUCCUAAAAUUAAAAAGUCAAUUGGGACUUUUAUUUUGAAAUAAAGUAGGGAUAAAUUAAUCAGCUCUAUGCCCUUGAAUAACAUAACCCUGAUGAGGGAUGACUAAUUUCAGGAAACCAGUCUCCUCACAGCUAGCAGCAGGAGCAUAUAUCUGUCCUUCAACCUUCAACCUUCAACUUUUCCCACAUUCAAAUUCAGGAGAAAAAGUUACUUUUAAAAAAAUAAGGAUAAAACAAUAACUUUAAAAUUACUGCAGACAAAUUUUGAUUAAAAAUCACUAAAAUGAAAAACCCAUAAAGUAGUCCAUCUGUUUAAUUUUUACCCAAAAAAAAAAGGAACCCAAAGAUUAAAGAUAUAUAUGAACAAAGCUAGCUAACUUGACAAUCAAUUUGGGACACCAUAUAUUCUUGAAAUUAAUAAACAAGUGAUGAUCUUUCUCUGUCUCUAUAUAUGCUUAUUCUCUGGAAGAAACUAAAAUGAUCAAGGACCUGUGGGAUUGCUCUUAUGGUGAAGAGGGUCUGGUCCAGUUGGCACUUCCCUUGCUGAAUCCUCUGUCCCAAAACCUGACUCUCCAUUUCCAAAUUUAUCCAACAAUCCCUUCAUUUUUCAACAAAAAAAAAAUGUAAAUUAAUAAAAAAUAAUUAAAACCCUCCAUGAAAAAUACAAUGUUCAAGAUAAAAAAAUAAAAUAUAAAAGAAAUAUAACAUAAUUAAAGAUGUUUUUUUUAACUCAAGAAAAUGGCUGAUACUUGUAUUUAUAUAUAUAUAUAUAUAUAUAUAUACACACACACACACCUGACACCCCCACCCACCCACCUGUGUAGCUAUGCUUUCUGCCAUUUUGGUCUCUACUUGUAAACCUGAGAAAAAUUAAAGGGGGAAAAAAGAAGAAGAACCAUUUUAUAAUAGUUUGUACAUUUAGAGAGAGAAACCAUAACUAAAAGAGAAAGAGACAGACUUACAGGGACGAGAAGUUUGGACAAAAGGUGCUGAAACCGCCAUUAAAAUGGCCGAGAAGAGUAAAAAACAGGUUAAAUCUCUGCAAAAGGCCAUCUUUUUUGGUAAGAAAUGAAACCCUGUCCCAAAAUCUGUCACAUAUAAGAAAAAUAAACACAGAAAGAUUAGUGAAACAGAGCUUUUUAUGGAGUCGCCGAAUUGAAGUUCUGGAAAUUUGCAAAAAUAAAAUAAAAUUGGGAAUAUAUUUUAGCACCAUGCCUAAAUUAUCCCUUAAAAUUUUCAGUAAAAAAGCUACGAUUUCAAUAUUUGAGGGGUGUUUUGGUCUUUUCGUUAAUGGAG